Molecule: ribosomal RNA, 255 nt
Filed under: uncultured bacterium
Lineage: Bacteria
Description: partial 16S ribosomal RNA
Rfam family: Bacterial small subunit ribosomal RNA
Source: RNAcentral
CGGACGGGUGAGUAACGCGUGGAAAACCUGCCGUAUACUGGGGGAUAACACUUAGAAAUAGGUGCUAAUACCGCAUAAGCGCACAGCUUCGCAUGAAGCGGUGUGAAAAACUCUGGUGGUAUACGAUGGCUCCGCGUCUGAUUAGCUAGUUGGUGGGGUAAUGGCCUACCAAGGCAACGAUCAGUAGCCGGCCUGAGAGGGUGAACGGCCACAUUGGGACUGAGACACGGCCCAAACUCCUACGGGAGGCAGCAG